AAUAAUUAAAAUUCAAUUACAACAUACAUUCAAUAUGAAAUAAAUUCAAUUUUGGGUCUUACAUUAGCUUAUGUAAGCUCUAAAGCUAACCCAAGAAAGAGAUAGGACAUAAUUGUAAAAACUUCAAAAUAUGAGAUCAAUGUUGUGAUACCGCUCAAUCCAUGUCGGGACGCUGACAAACAGUUUGUCACAUCACGAUGCCAAGCUAAUCCUCAUGUAGCGUUGUAAUACCCAAUUUAUGCCCAGUUUGUCACAUCACGAUGCCAAGCUAAUCCUCAUGUAGCGUUGUAAUACCCAAUUUAUGCCCAGCCCACAUACAUUGCAAAAACCAAAUAUAUAGAAUAAAUGUCCCAUAAAAUAGUCCAUUUACAAACUGAUAGCCCGAUUAAUCUAACCUAAAUUACCUAAAUACAUUAAGCCUGAUAACACAAAUUACAUCAAACCCACUAGCCUAAAAAACUUUAGCCUAAUGAGCCAAAAACGCAAAACAAGAGCAAAGAACCCUAGCAACAUUCGGCUCCCAGCGUCGCAGCAACCGUACCACGCCUCCACGCGCUGCGCCACGUCCACCCUCCGUACGUCGUACCUGCAAGAAGGACAAGCAAACAAAAAGAGUAGAAAUCGACAGCAAAUAAAAGAAAAAGGACAUAUUUCUUUCGAUUUUUUGUUUUAUCUUCUUUUUUUCAUUUUCGGCUAUAAAGGCCGAUUUAAAAAUCUGUAAGAGGGAGGGUUACAGACAAGAAUAUUGUAUCAAAUCUUUGAAAGAAAAGCAAUAAAAAAUAGUUUUUAAAGGUGAUCUGAAAUUUAUUUUUCCUCGAUUUCUUCUUUCUUUUCUGUUUUCUUCAAGAUUAGUCUGUUAUAUUUCUUAUUUGCAAAAGAGAAAAUAAAGAGAGGAAAGGAGAAGGUGUUUUACCUUCGUGGGUGCGCCGAUGAAGCCUUCUUCUCCUCUGGGCGAAUCGGAGUUGAAUGGGCCAGGGAUUUGAAACGGAAGAGAAUGGGGAAAAAUGAAAGUGGCGUUCACCUUUCCUCUGUAGUUUCAAAUGAAACAUUUAGAUUUAGGUUUAGGUUCUUUUUUAGGUUUAAA
RNAcentral lists this long non-coding RNA (1084 nucleotides) under Gossypium barbadense (sea-island cotton). Its description in RNAcentral is "long non-coding RNA (GBAR_LNC022360)". The record is from RNAcentral. Lineage: Eukaryota; Viridiplantae; Streptophyta; Magnoliopsida; Malvales; Malvaceae.